This 277-nucleotide ribosomal RNA is filed under the name uncultured bacterium. RNAcentral describes it as "partial 16S ribosomal RNA". It matches the Rfam family "Bacterial small subunit ribosomal RNA", at positions 29 to 302 of the family's 1533-position model. The record is from RNAcentral.
AACGAACGUUGGCGGCGUGGAUUAGGCAUGCAAGUCGAACGAAUCCCUGAGGGCUUGCUCUUGGGGGGAAGUGGCGAAAGGGGCAGUAAGGCGUGGGUAACCUACCGAAGGGACCGGGAUAGCCUCGGGAAACCGAGGGUAAUACCGGGCGACGUACCUGGGGCGCAUGUUUUGGGUACCAAAGGUCAGCCGCCCUUCGAGGGGCUCACGUGAUAUUAGCUUGUUGGUGGGGUAACGGCUCACCAAGGCAAAGAUGUCUAGCGGGUGUGAGAGCACG